ACUAUCAUCACUCGCUAAUUGCACUUUCCUGAAAUCAAACAAAAAAAAAUAUUUUUACAUACCUUUGAAAUUACUCAAAUUUUGUCUCAAGUGGAGUAGACCUGAAACCUCUCUUCGACUAAUAAUGUCACACUUCCCUCGACAUUCUCUGAUUCUUCACCAUAAUUUUUUUUUUCAUAUUGUACGAAUUCGUCUUAGAUCUGAUCCGAUCUAACUCUCAACUCACUCUUGAAUCUCUCUCGAUAGAUCACUCUCAAACACACUAAAAAAAGAAUACGAAAAGACUGUAAAGAACACACGAGACUUUAACAAGUUCAGCUCCAAACCGGAGCCUACGUCUGGCCGGAGAUUCUCUCCGGAAUUCACUAGAUCGGUGUUUCUUUAGUUAGAGCUUUUGAGCUUCCGAUUCUGUUACGAUUACAACAACUUAAGAAGUGUAAAAGAUACUCCCUCUGUAUUCGUUUUGUUGUCGUUCUAUCUAACUGUAAUCACACAUAUUAAGAAAAAGUGUAAAAUGACUUAUUUAACCUCACCUAAACAACUACUCCUUUAACUUUUUAUUUUGCCGACAUAAAUUAAAGUUUUGUCUUUGGUACUCCUCCGUAGAGAGCCAGAAAAAAUGUUGACCAUAGAUUUGUCAUCUGUUUUCGAUUCGUUUUGAUUCUUACUUUAUCUUCUUCUUCUUCUCUUCUUCUUUUUGAAUCUUUAUCUUCUCACUUUUUUUUUCACUUUUGGGAAGCUCGAAGAGCUGAGGAGUGAGAGAGAGAGAAGGAUCUUUGAAGUCGCCGGAAUUGUUAAACCGGAGCUCCGACUAUUCAACACAAACCCAAAUCAAUCUGCGUUUCUUCUCUCUUCGUCUACGAUGACCUCGAAGAACAGUGGUUUGUCUGCCGCGCUUGUUUCGAAUCUCCAAGAUGUGCUUUCGAAAGAGAAAAGUAGGGAACGAGGAAAAAGUUGGGAACGAUGGAUCGGCGGAUUGAUUAAUUAUAUCAAUUAAUUGAGGUUAAUUUAGGAAUGUUUAUGUAAAAGUUGAAUUGGGAGGUGUAAACGACAUCUAAUUAUUAACAAAAAAAAAAUGUGUAGAACGACAACAAAACGAAUACAGAGGGAGUACUGAUUAACAAUAAAGAGAAAGAGCAUUUAUAACAGCUUCUAGAACUCCCAUCUCGCAUGUGUAAGCUCACACGUGCCCGAGUCAAAACUGCUAUGACUGAAACCCUCUCCUCUUUCUAGAGUCUUCUCUGUACUUAGUGUAAUCUCAGACUUGCUUUAUGAGACACAAACCUUCACUUAUAAACAUAUGCAUUCCUUUUUUGAGAAA
This 1321-nucleotide long non-coding RNA is filed under the name Arabidopsis lyrata. RNAcentral's name for it is "long non-coding RNA (ALYR_LNC003411)". The record is from RNAcentral. Lineage: Eukaryota; Viridiplantae; Streptophyta; Magnoliopsida; Brassicales; Brassicaceae.